Molecule: ribosomal RNA, 492 nt
Filed under: uncultured bacterium
Lineage: Bacteria
Description: bacterial SSU rRNA
Rfam family: Bacterial small subunit ribosomal RNA
Source: RNAcentral
CUACGUGCCAGCAGCCGCGGUAAUACGGAGGGUGCAAGCGUUAAUCGGAAUUACUGGGCGUAAAGCGCACGCAGGCGGUUUGUUAAGUCAGAUGUGAAAUCCCCGAGCUUAACUUGGGAACUGCAUUUGAAACUGGCAAGCUAGAGUCUUGUAGAGGGGGGUAGAAUUCCAGGUGUAGCGGUGAAAUGCGUAGAGAUCUGGAGGAAUACCGGUGGCGAAGGCGGCCCCCUGGACAAAGACUGACGCUCAGGUGCGAAAGCGUGGGGAGCARACAGGAUUAGAUACCCUGGUAGUCCACGCUGUAAACGAUGUCGACUUGGAGGUUGUGCCCUUGAGGCGUGGCUUCCGGAGCUAACGCGUUAAGUCGACCGCCUGGGGAGUACGGCCGCAAGGUUAAAACUCAAAUGAAUUGACGGGGGCCCGCACAAGCGGUGGAGCAUGUGGUUUAAUUCGAUGCAACGCGAAGAACCUUACCUACUCUUGACAUCCAGA